Molecule: ribosomal RNA, 253 nt
Filed under: uncultured bacterium
Lineage: Bacteria
Description: partial 16S ribosomal RNA
Rfam family: Bacterial small subunit ribosomal RNA
Source: RNAcentral
UACAGAGGGUGCAAGCGUUGCUCGGAAUUACUGGGCGUAAAGCGUACGCAGACGGUAAGAAAGGUCGGAUGUGAAAGCCCCGGGCUCAACCCUGGAACUGCAUCCGAAACCAUCUUGCUAGAGUAUGGGAGAGGGAAGCGGAAUUCCUGGUGUAGAGGUGAAAUUCGUAGAUAUCAGGAGGAACACCGGCGGCGAAGGCGGCUUCCUGGCCCAUUACUGACGUUCAGGUACGAAAGCGUGGGUAGCAAACAGG